AAAAAAUCCACUCAUGAUUGUACUAGAGACAUUUGUUUUUGUAGCAGUAUUGUCCGCAGUAAUAUGUUUUAUGUACCUCAUAAGGGGUAGUUUGAGGACGAGAAACUUUUUGUAUACAUUUUUUUGCUGUAUAAGUUGUCAAAAAUGUACACACACCAUUGAGACCGCAGACACAGUUGACCAAUAUCAAAUGACAACUGGAAAUAUGUCUAAACGUUUUCAAUCCGUCAAGUUCCAGUAAUAAUUUGAAACAUAACCGACAUGUUCAUGAAAUUUUUCAUCUUUUUAUUUAAGGUGUCUUACAGGUUAUGUAUAUAUACUUCCAUUGUGUCGUUAGUGAUAGGACAGCAACUCUACCUUCAAAUAGUUGAUUUGCUUAAGGUAUGAAAUAUUACACUUUUGAAUUAAUAUUUGAUCUUUUUAGUUUUAGUAUUUACAUCAUUGUUUAAAUUUUUGAAAAAAUGGAUAACUACUUUACAACAACCACCGAACAGCAACAGCCCCUGCUCCCCAAUGAACUUCAACAACUACCAAACGAAAUAACAACAACAACAACAACCGGUCAUCAUUGAAACAAGAAGAUCUGGUAGAGUUAUUAGGCCGGUUAUAAGAUAUUGAUUUGAUAAUAACUAAUAUGUACAUAUUACUUUAUAAUUUUAGUAUAUUGAAGGACAUUAUUGUCUAAUUUUAAAAAUUUACUGUAAAUUGUAAAAAUCUUUGAAAUAGAUCUCGCAG
This 735-nucleotide long non-coding RNA is filed under the name Mytilus galloprovincialis (Mediterranean mussel). The record is from RNAcentral. Lineage: Eukaryota; Metazoa; Mollusca; Bivalvia; Mytilida; Mytilidae.